RNAcentral lists this ribosomal RNA (200 nucleotides) under uncultured bacterium. RNAcentral's name for it is "partial 16S ribosomal RNA". It matches the Rfam family "Bacterial small subunit ribosomal RNA", at positions 524 to 723 of the family's 1533-position model. The record is from RNAcentral.
UACGGAGGGUGCAAGCGUUGUCCGGAUUUAUUGGGUUUAAAGGGUGCGUAGGUGGCCCUAUAAGUCAGUGGUGAAAGCCUGUCGCUCAACGAUAGGACUGCCAUUGAUACUGUAGGGCUUGAGUAUUGAUGAGGUAGGCGGAAUUGAUAGUGUAGCGGUGAAAUGCAUAGAUAUUAUCAAGAACACCGAUUGCGUAGGCA